Molecule: long non-coding RNA, 263 nt
Organism: Dermacentor silvarum
Lineage: Eukaryota; Metazoa; Arthropoda; Arachnida; Ixodida; Ixodidae
Exons: 2
Source: RefSeq, a predicted model, not a curated record
UUGACUGCCUCUUUUUAUUUUCUAUGUAGUUAUUUUACUGUCACGGAACCACAAGGCCUGCUGGCUUCCAUUGUUUUUGUCUAGUCAAGAGCAAACUUCUGUGGGCAGCCAGUGGUAUCCAAGAGGGAAGGGACCUGGAUUGCUGUGGUUACUGUAGCUGCGUCUUAUUUUAUGUGGUCACCUUUUCUACUGUAUUUAAAAAUUUUGUAAAAUCAUUCUGCAUGUCCUUUAAUUUAUUAGUCAAUAAAGCCGCUUUCUCACAA